CUACGGGUCGCUGCAGUAAGGAAUAUUGCACAAUGGGGGAAACCCUGAUGCAGCAACGCCGCGUGGACGAAGAAGGCCUUCGGGUCGUAAAGUCCUUUUCUGAGGGAAGAGGAAGGACGGUACCUCAGGAAUAAGUCUCGGCUAACUACGUGCCAGCAGCCGCGGUAAAACGUAGGAGGCGAGCGUUAUCCGGAUUCACUGGGCGUAAAGGGCAAGUAGGCGGUUGUUUAAGUUAGGUGUGACAUCUCUCGGCUUAACUGGGAGGGAGCGCUUAAAACUAGGCAACUAGAGGGCGGAAGAAGGGGGUAGAACUCCAAAUGUAGCGGUGGAAUGCUCAGAUAUUUGGAAGAAUACCAGUGGCGAAGGCGACCCCCCGGUCCGUGCCUGACGCUGAGAGGCGAAAGCUAGGGUAGCGAACGGGAUUAGAUACCCGAGUAGUC
Molecule: ribosomal RNA, 440 nt
Filed under: uncultured bacterium
Lineage: Bacteria
Description: partial 16S ribosomal RNA
Rfam family: Bacterial small subunit ribosomal RNA
Source: RNAcentral